This 377-nucleotide ribosomal RNA is filed under the name uncultured organism. RNAcentral's name for it is "partial 16S ribosomal RNA". It matches the Rfam family "Bacterial small subunit ribosomal RNA", at positions 527 to 896 of the family's 1533-position model. The record is from RNAcentral.
GUAGGUGGCAAGCGUUGUCCGGAAUUAUUGGGCGUAAAGCGCGCGCAGGCGGUUCUUUAAGUCUGAUGUGAAAGCCCACGGCUCAACCGUGGAAGGUCAUUGGAAACUGGAGAACUUGAGUACAGAAGAGGAAAGCGGAAUUCCACGUGUAGCGGUGAAAUGCGUAGAGAUGUGGAGGAACACCAGUGGCGAAGGCGGCUUUUCUGGUCUGUAACUGACGCUGAGGCGCGAAAGCGUGGGGAGCAAACAGGGAUUAGAUACCCUGGUAGUCCACGCCGUAAACGAUGAGUGCUAAGUGUUAGGGGGGGUUUCCGCCCCCCUUAGUGCUGCAGCUAACGCAUUAAGCACUCCGCCUGGGGAGUACGGCCGCAAGGCUG